This is a long non-coding RNA of Rattus norvegicus (Norway rat), 2415 nucleotides long. RefSeq lists it as uncharacterized. NCBI's taxonomy places the organism in Eukaryota, Metazoa, Chordata, Mammalia, Rodentia, Muridae. The record is from RefSeq and is a predicted model, not a curated record.
AGGGUUGGCUAUGACCCAGGGCAGAUGUUGACUGUGACCCAGGGCAGGUGUUAGCUAUCACCCAGGGCAGAUGUUGGCUAUGAAAGAGACUUGCUAAUGGACGCUCAAUCAAUCCUGACCUGGGUGUUGGAAACCUGUCCCUCCUGCUGCUGACACUCCCCAUGUGCGUCCUUUCAGAAGCAGGGAAGGCUGUGGAAGCUGUGGCCAUGUCAUAACCCUGUGACCUACGUCAGCCAGCUAGACCCUGCCUCCCAGAGUCACACCACUAGCCAAGGAGAACACAGGCCUGAGAUGGGAGCUUAUCACGAUGGUCUGGAUUCAAGCUGUAAAAUACCAUUCCUCCUGAAGCUGCAGAGACCGCUCAUUGCUUCUCUGUGGAGCUGUCAGGACUCUAUGGAAAGCGCUCACUGUAUGUUGUUGACAUGGACGCAGAUGUGGGGACUUUGUCUGCAGAGCCAUGCAAAAUACAAGAGUACAGAAUGAACUACGUGAGAGACUUCCCAGUCCUGGAAAAGCAGAGGCAGCAGCUUGUCAGAAAGAUAAGAAGGCAGAUUCCGGAGUUCAAGGUCGGCCUGGUCCAGAGCAAGGUUAGGCCCCCGCAAGGAAAAAAAUGGUAAUCUCAGGGUGGGGUCCCCGUCCCACCCAGUUAGUUUAUCAGCAGGGCUCUACAAGUAGAUGGAUCUCUGAAUUCUUUUGAAAUGUUAAAAAGAAGGAAAGAAAUGUGUGCCUGUGGUCUCUUAGGAAUCCAGGGGCCAGGGUCACAGGAUGCAGAUCCACACGAUAAUCAGUAGGGAAUCUGGAGUAAAUGCCUGGAUUGAUAUGUAAAUAAAAGACUGGGCUUACAGAUCUGCCAGAAGGAGCUAUCCAGAAAAUUAAAAAAAAAAAAAAAAUCAAGCAAAACCUAGAGAGAGGGCUGUCCGGAGAUCUCCCGAGAAAGCAGAACACAGACAGCAAUCUGAAAAGCUGUCUUCAGCAGAACAUAGGCUGACAGUUUGGACCACGAUUUGACUUCACUUUGUUUGUUUUCACUGCUCCUAGACACCCCUUCUUUCAGAACCCCCUCUCCAAGCCGAGGGUGGUCUUUGGCCCACUCUCCCUUAGAGGAGGUAGUGAGAACCGACCUUCAGCCCCGAGUCGAUGACCAUUCAGGCACUUCUAAGAAGGCUCCUCAGCCUAAAGGUCCCCUUGCUGUGAUGUGUCUUACACACACACACACACACACACACACACACACACACACACACACAUAUACACACACAUACAUACACAUACACAUACACACACAUACACACAUAUACACACACAUACACAUACACACACAUACACACACACAUACACACACACCCGUGCAUGAGAGUGUACAAACCCACCAUUCAGAAGCCAGAGAGACCAGGAGAGGGCAUCUGAUCCCCCAGGAGCUGUAAUUGCAGGUGAUUGUGAGCUACCCAACGCGCUGUCACUGACAUGGGUGCUGGGAACCAAACGUGGGUUCUCUAUGAAAGCAACAAAGGCCCUUAGCUCUGGAGCCAUUUUGCCAGCACUGUCGGGGAUCUCGAGUCAGCUGCUGUACCCCAUCUUUCUUUGACAGAAACCCUCAAAUCCCUUGCUUAUUUAGUAACUCCCGUGGGCCCUGAAAUUAGCAUGUAGAAAACGACAUCAAACAGCACCACGAUAUAAAUUAAGGGACACCAGACAUUAUUAGGCAAACUGCUGGCUCAACUUCUGUUGAGACCCCUUCCUUAUUUUCAACAGAGUCAUUUCAAAGUUCCGGGGAGACCCUCACGUUCUUCCACUAACUUUGAGCCUCCCUCUUCUCCGUUAAGCCACGCCCACAGCUCUCUCUGAGAUAGAACCUCUCAUUGGAUCCCAGGCUGAGUCAAACUCAUGGCAAACCUCCCCCCUUAGCCUCCUGAGUGCUGCUGGCAUUAAAGGCGUGUCUGUUCUGUGAUGCCCGGGACUUCGUCAUGAGUGAUCUCGUGCCCCCUGUGUGUGGCAUGUUUGAGACUAAGGUCAGGGCCGGAUGAGCACGUCCACGCUAACCUCACUCCCCUGGAUGCCACACGCCAACCCACCCUGGGCUCGGCUGCCUGAGCAAGUGGUUUCUAUGCAGAGCUCUGGUGCUCGGUGUGAUCCGGCCAGCAGCUGUGGUGCCCUCAGUAACCUCCAGGGGCACUGUAAAGCAUUUUGUAGAUGCCGUAAGCAUGGAAUCCCUCUGGCUCUCAGUGAGGCAGGUGGCCCCAUCAGAGGCUGAAGGCAAUUUCCAGAGAGGAAGGCAAUCUACUUCCAGCCUGGAGCGUGGCUUCUGGAUAGAGUGGCAGCCUGUGGGCAUCAGACUCACGGGCCUAACUAUGGGUUGAUUCUCUUGUAGAACCCGAGGUUGCUCCUGGAGAGCCCUGUACACCGUAGUUUAACUUC